UACAGAGGUCUCAACCGUUGUUCGGAUUCAUUGGGCGUAAAGGGUGCGUAGGCGGUCGUGCAAGUCGGAUGUGAAAUCUCAGGGCUCAACCCUGAAACUGCAUUCGAUACUGCGUUGCUAGAGUGCUGGAGAGGAGACUGGAAUUUACGGUGUAGCAGUGAAAUGCGUAGAUAUCGUAAGGAAGACCAGUGGCGAAGGCGAGUCACUGGACAGCAACUGACGCUGAGGCACGAAGGCCAGGGGAGCAAACGGG
Molecule: ribosomal RNA, 253 nt
Filed under: uncultured bacterium
Lineage: Bacteria
Description: partial 16S ribosomal RNA
Rfam family: Bacterial small subunit ribosomal RNA
Source: RNAcentral